CAGUAGCCACGGGAAUACGGAGGAUCCAAGCGUUAUCCGGAAUCAUUGGGUUUAAAGGGUCCGUAGGCGGUCUUGUAAGUCAGUGGUGAAAGCCCAUCGCUCAACGGUGGAACGGCCAUUGAUACUGCAGGACUUGAAUUAUUGGGAAGUAACUAGAAUAUGUAGUGUAGCGGUGAAAUGUUUAGAGAUUACAUGGAAUACCAAUUGCGAAGGCAGGUUACUACCAAUUGAUUGACGCUGAUGGACGAAAGCGUGGGUAGCGAACAGGAUUAGAUACCCCCGUAGUCCCUGUCUCUUAUAC
Molecule: ribosomal RNA, 301 nt
Filed under: uncultured bacterium
Lineage: Bacteria
Description: partial 16S ribosomal RNA
Rfam family: Bacterial small subunit ribosomal RNA
Source: RNAcentral